UUACAAAAUUAUUUUCUAUUCACUUUGUAACUGAAAACUACAAUUAUUUAAAUGAGAAUAAACUGUAAUUUAAAAUAAUUCACUGCAAAUUCAAGACAAAAUAAACAUAUAAAUAUGAUUAUGAUUUCGAUUUCACAUUUCCAUUCCAUUGUAAAUGAACAAUCUACUGCGACUUCCACCCUACACUCUCAAUCUUAGAUUCCCACAUAAAAAUUUCCACUCUAAUUUAAAAAGUAAACAGUACCAAAAUUGACGUUAUAUUAGAUGAGAAACAAACUGUGUCUUAAAAUACAAGCCUAACAUUAUAAUCAAGAAUGGUAGAUUCCAAGAAAGAGAGAUGAGGAGAUAAUGAUACUGAUAAUUAAAGAUCUACUGCGACUUCCACCCUACACUCUCAAUCUUAGAUUCCCACAUAAAAAUUUCCACUCUAAUUUAAAAAGUAAACAGUACCAAAAUUGACGUUAUAUUAGAUGAGAAACAAACUGUGUCUUAAAAUACAAGCCUAACAUUAUAAUCAAGAAUGGUAGAUUCCAAGAAAGAGAGAUGAGGAGAUAAUGAUACUGAUAAUUAAAGAUGAUUGGCGGAAGCAGGAAGAGCCACAAGGGAUUCUUGAAUUGGGAGAAAUAAUAAUGAUGGAGGAUACCUUGAAUCUACCUGCCUCGGUCGGGGUGUUGUACUGGGGAAGUCAACAACUUAUGAAAGAGAUUCAAUUCAUUCAACAAUGUUUUAGGUAUGUGUAGUAGUCAAAAUUUUAAAUUAGAUGUGCUUUUACUUAUUCUAAAAGGCCCAAUUAGGCAACUGGCGAGGCAGAACUACAGCUAAAUUCCUAAUUAUGAUUUCCAUAGCCAAUGAGUUUAAAAGCUGUGUGGCUGUCAUUGGAACAGUAGGGGAAAGAAAGAAAGAAAGAAAUAUAAAAAUACAAAAACAGCAAAGUCCCUCUGUCUAAAGUGAUGGUUAUUAUUAUUAUUUUUUUGUUGUUGGGGUUGUUGGGCGGAGAAGUAACGAUUAAAACGUGAAACGACUAGAUUAAUCAAAUCCUUGAAGAAAAAUACAGUUGCAUUCUCCAGUUUUCACUUCGCAGAUUUGGACAGAUAUGAAAUUAUAAACUUCACAUUAUUAUUAUUAUUUUCAAUAAGAAAAUAACUGGCUUGUAUGCGGAGAAAAUUUCGGAUUGCUUCGUGCGAGGUUGUGAAGCGGAAAAUGGAAAUGCAAUGUAUGAAGAGUUACUGGUGACUCUUGGAGUGGCUUUAAGGUGAAGAUUGUUUUCUUUAGUGGAAUUGACAUAUACCAAUAUGUUAGAACUGAUGCUUGUUACUUAAAGUUUGGGCUUAGUUAAGAAGAUAAUGGGCCUAUAGGAGUCGCUGACAGCAAGUGGGCUUACCAAGCCCAGCCCAUCAAUAAACCUUUCGCGUCAAUAAAACACACUUUCCGAAUUUUUAACAAGUAGACAUUCGACAUGGUAAAAGUAUUAGGACGACAGUGUGAAAUUAACACAUAUCAAUUAACUCUUAUUAUUUUGUAAUAGUCAAUGAUUUCCUCCAAUAUAAAAAAUCUAAAGAAACAAAGGGUUUAACGGAUCAUUUGUUUGAUAUUUGAUCUUGG
This 1602-nucleotide long non-coding RNA is filed under the name Citrus x clementina. RNAcentral describes it as "Citrus clementina (C. clementina) long non-coding RNA (CCLE_LNC003913)". Lineage: Eukaryota; Viridiplantae; Streptophyta; Magnoliopsida; Sapindales; Rutaceae. The record is from RNAcentral.